AAGUCGUAACAAGGUUUCCGUAGGUGAACCUGCGGAAGGAUCAUUGGGAAGAGAGGUUGAGAGUGUGUUGGAAUGCGAGAUUGAUAUCACUUUGACAAAAAUAACCUAUUACAUAUAACUAGCCACCUGGGAUCUCUGGGCUCUU
RNAcentral lists this unclassified non-coding RNA (145 nucleotides) under fungal sp. RNAcentral's name for it is "partial internal transcribed spacer region". The stretch from base 1 to 46 matches the Rfam family "Eukaryotic small subunit ribosomal RNA", at positions 1786 to 1831 of the family's 1831-position model. The record is from RNAcentral. Lineage: Eukaryota; Fungi.